Long non-coding RNA from Labrus mixtus (cuckoo wrasse), 965 nucleotides. RefSeq lists it as uncharacterized. Lineage: Eukaryota; Metazoa; Chordata; Actinopteri; Labriformes; Labridae. The record is from RefSeq and is a predicted model, not a curated record. The transcript is spliced from 2 exons.
ACAGCACUUGUAGCCUAAUUAUUAUAAGCUAUGAAGACAUGUCAGGUGGGAAAAUGUGUAGGCUAUUCUCGUCCCAUAUCAAGUCCAACAGAGGUCCCCCCCGCAACAAGCAGCACGAGCUCCCCUCCUGUUCGUGCAGUCGCGAGCUCUGGAGAAUGAAAGCAGCUGCGCGUGGUUUUGUCCGCGAGCAGCAGCAGCAGCAGCAGCAGCAGAGACCCCGCUCGUUGACGUACACUCAGGGAGGGUGCGUGAGUUUUUUGCCCGAAGGACUCGGGGAAAGAAGGGGGGGAGGAGGUGUUCAGCGCGUCUUUAGUCCACUUGGAUACUACUGAAUUCAUGACAUCCAUUAAAGCAGCCGUUCAUCACCGGUCCAGAGGAGGAAGACAUGAAAAAUCUGUUUUUGCUCAGCAGCAUUACGUUCUGCUAUCUUACCGCUGAGGGCUUAAAAACUUCUCAGCCUUACUGCUUCUAGCCCCAGUCAGCUUUGACAUAUAUUAUGACUAUUGAAGCAUUUGAAUAUUGUGUCUCACAGAAAGUCUCUUGGCAAAAAGAAGCCACAGUUAUUCAGUUGAAUAUUAAAGGAAGGGGAGGAAGAAAUCCAUUAACUCAACACAGUCUGCUGUGUGCAUUUUUACCUGAAGUCUUUCAACAUCUUCAGACUAAUUCCCAGAGACGAUUUAGCUCAUUCUCUUCUUUCUGAUCAUUUAAGUAUUAGAAAACCCAUCGCCCAGUGCAAACGUGGCCAGAAUUUAGUGAGUCAGCUGUACUCAUGCAUUUUAAUAUUUGUUGUUGCAUUUUCUGCCAAUGUAUUUGCACCCAAAGAGAUUGCAAGAACUAAUUCUCCUUGCCAUAGCAUUAAGCCAUGUAAUAUCAAUGAGGAUUUAUGUGACUGUUUUUUGUGAAGCUUAUGGGGAGAUUCAUGUUGAUAUAUUAAAUGGCUAAUAAAUGGUUGCAUCGUCACAUUA